CGGUGAGGUAGAGGAGCGAAUAACAAGAGUAGUCCAUCGGAGAUAGACAAUCGUUGAUGGUGGCUGAAAGGGUUGUUUGCCGAAGUGUAAUCAGGGUCAAACUGGUUAUUGCUGGGAUGCUUUCUGAACAAGGAGCAGACUGUCAUGCGGGGUUUGUGCAUGGAGAACUACUGAUCGA
Molecule: non-coding RNA, 178 nt
Filed under: Mesobacillus selenatarsenatis
Lineage: Bacteria; Bacillati; Bacillota; Bacilli; Caryophanales; Bacillaceae
Also listed under: 1 other name
Description: Bacillus selenatarsenatis Lysine sequence
Rfam family: Lysine riboswitch aptamer
About the family: Riboswitches are metabolite binding domains within certain messenger RNAs that serve as precision sensors for their corresponding targets. Allosteric rearrangement of mRNA structure is mediated by ligand binding, and this results in modulation of gene expression.
Source: RNAcentral